This 446-nucleotide ribosomal RNA is filed under the name uncultured bacterium. Its description in RNAcentral is "partial 16S ribosomal RNA". It matches the Rfam family "Bacterial small subunit ribosomal RNA", at positions 338 to 795 of the family's 1533-position model. The record is from RNAcentral.
CCUACGGGCGGCAGCAGUCGAGAAUCAUUCACAAUGGGGGAAACCCUGAUGGUGCGACGCCGCGUGGGGGAAUGAAGGUCUUCGGAUUGUAAACCCCUGUCAUGUGGGAGCAAAUUAAAAAGAUAGUACCACAAGAGGAAGAGACGGCUAACUCUGUGCCAGCAGCCGCGGUAAUACAGAGGUCUCAAGCGUUGUUCGGAAUCACUGGGCGUAAAGCGUGCGUAGGCUGUUUCGUAAGUCGUGUGUGAAAGGCGCGGGCUCAACCCGCGGACGGCACAUGAUACUGCGAGACUAGAGUGAUGGAGGGGGAACCGGAAUUCUCGGUGUAGCAGGGAAAUGCGUAGAUAUCGAGAGGAACACUCGUGGCGAAGGCGGGUUCCUGGACAUUAACUGACGCUGAGGCACGAAGGCCAGGGGAGCGAAAGGGAUUAGAUACCCCUGUAGUC